Physcomitrium patens is the source of this 746-nucleotide non-coding RNA. NCBI's taxonomy places the organism in Eukaryota, Viridiplantae, Streptophyta, Bryopsida, Funariales, Funariaceae. The record is from RefSeq and is a predicted model, not a curated record.
AGAAACAAAGCUGUUCAUCCUACGCCUCAAUGCACGAGGUCGACGGAAGCGAGUCGAAUGUCGUUUGUGAGGCUCGCAUGUGCGGCUGUUCCUGCUCCACCAGGUUUCGGAAACUAUUACUCAGGUUUCUCCUCCAGAAGUUUUUUGCUCGCAGGCAGGGUGAAGGGAAGUGAGCAAGUAUGGCAAAGUUCGCAGAUGUUGCUCACAGAAGUGUGACAGCGGGUUUAGGACUCGCCACUCUCUGGGUUGGGGGCAACCUCAUUUUCAAUAUUACUCGUGGCAUUUCAUGGCAUUAUUCGCAAGAUAAGCCUAUCGGAGACACGGAAGCUUCUCCGAAAAAAUGAAUUGAAACUUGCGAUGACACCAAUGUGGAAUCAUAUCGUGCAAAGCAGCUGAUCUCUGAUGCAUUUCCGGAUGUCUUACUCUUAGUGUUGAGAACUUAGGAAGCCUUUUGCUGCUCUAUACAAAGGAGAUUAAUCGUUGUAUGUGGGAGGGUCAGGACAAGUGAUGUGACAAGUAUAGAGCUCAGGACUUUAGUAUUGUGGAUAUGGGCAGCAUUAUUGGUUGACAUCAUGUUACUGUCUUCGAUUGACGUCAUCUGCAAUCGAUCAUGUAAUACUCUCCUUUGCUUGUGUCUCGGAUCUCUUAUGAAAACAGGUUCGUGAGGGCACAUGUGGUUCUAAGUCUUCAUGUAUACCGACCACUGAUUUUAAUAAAUGCAUGAGGCUUUGUCAAGUUGAAACCUA